Gasterosteus aculeatus aculeatus (three-spined stickleback) is the source of this 560-nucleotide long non-coding RNA. The record is from Ensembl. Lineage: Eukaryota; Metazoa; Chordata; Actinopteri; Perciformes; Gasterosteidae.
UCGCGCACAAGGCCGUGGCAGCGUGCAGUAUUUCUCCUUGAGUAAGAAACUUGACUUUUUUGGUCUCUUCCGUGUGACGAAAGUGAAAAAAAGGGACUUGAACACUUUUUUUUUUUUUUUUUGCACUAAGCUCUUGGGUGGAGGUGUAGAGCGUGAAAGCAUGACCCUUUAAUCCCUUCAACACGGGGGACGGCGCUCAACUAUUCCUGUGAAGACGAGUCCAACGCGCAGAAACACGUCAUGCUUUUGUUUUGUUAUUUAAAGAAAUAUGAAGAGACACUUGUGAUAAUGAACUAACCUCAGAUUUUGUUUUGUUGGACUGUAUUGUUAUUUUUUUCUUUUUGCAAAGAGCGAUAGAGCUGUUGAUCUUUGCUCAGCGGCCCUCUAGAAGUGUCUGUUUACAGGGCAGGAGAGCUGAGGAGUGAAAGCGGGAGCGACCUGGAUGGAAGAUGAACUCCCCGAACGUCUUCGUUGGUUCUUUACUCCUUGAGGAAAAGACACCGGAUCACCUAGCAGGUUAAUCAAAAAAGAAACAGAUGGAGAGACACCCAGAAGAAAAG